AGAGUUUGAUUCUGGCUCAGGAUGAACGCUGGCGGCGUGCUUAACACAUGCAAGUCGAACGAAGCCAAAAGGAAGCUUGCUUCUUUGAAGCUUAGUGGCGGACGGGUGAGUAACGCGUGAGGAACCUGCCCUUCAGUGGGGAAUAACAGCCGGAAACGACUGCUAAUACCGCAUAACGUCAUCGGACCGCAUGAUCUGGUGACCAAAGGAUUUAUUCGCUGAAGGAUGGCCUCGCGUCCGAUUAGGCAGUUGGUGAGGUAACGGCCCACCAAACCUACGAUCGGUAGCCGAACUGAGAGGUUGAUCGGCCACAUUGGGACUGAGACACGGCCCAGACUCCUACGGGAGGCAGCAGUGGGGAAUAUUGGGCAAUGGGCGAAAGCCUGAACCCCCAGCAACGCCGCGUGAAGGAUGACGGUCUUCGGAUUGUAAACUUCUUUGAUUGGGGAAGAACAAAAUGACCUACCCAAAGAACAAGUCACGGCUAACUACGUGCCAGCAGCAGC
This 506-nucleotide ribosomal RNA is filed under the name uncultured bacterium. RNAcentral's name for it is "bacterial SSU rRNA". It matches the Rfam family "Bacterial small subunit ribosomal RNA", at positions 8 to 518 of the family's 1533-position model. The record is from RNAcentral.